Molecule: ribosomal RNA, 460 nt
Filed under: uncultured bacterium
Lineage: Bacteria
Description: partial 16S ribosomal RNA
Rfam family: Bacterial small subunit ribosomal RNA
Source: RNAcentral
CCUACGGGUGGCAGCAGUGAGGAAUAUUGGUCAAUGGGCGGGAGCCUGAACCAGCCAAGCCGCGUGAAGGAAGAAGGCGCCAGGCGUCGUAAACUUCUUUUGUCGGGGAACAAAGGGCGCCACGCGUGGCGUUGUGAGUGUACCCGAAGAAAAAGCAUCGGCUAACUCCGUGCCAGCAGCCGCGGUAAUACGGAGGAUGCGAGCGUUAUCCGGAAUUACUGGGCGUAAAGGGUGUGCAGGCGGCUGAGUAAGACAGAUGUGAAAUCCCCGGGCUUAACCUGGGAACCGCAUAUGUGACUGCUUGGCUAGAGUGCGUCAGAGGGAGGUGGAAUUCCACGUGUAGCAGUGAAAUGCGUAGAUAUGUGGAAGAACACCGAUGGCGAAGGCAGCCUCCUGGGACGCAACUGACGCUCAUACACGAAAGCGUGGGGAGCAAACAGGAUUAGAUACCCGAGUAGUC